RNAcentral lists this non-coding RNA (29 nucleotides) under Homo sapiens (human). Lineage: Eukaryota; Metazoa; Chordata; Mammalia; Primates; Hominidae. The record is from RNAcentral.
UGCAAGGUUUGGUGGUCUCGUCGUUAAUC